RNAcentral lists this transfer RNA (89 nucleotides) under Ruminococcus sp. Its description in RNAcentral is "tRNA-Ser". It matches the Rfam family "tRNA". Rfam says of the family: Transfer RNA (tRNA) molecules are approximately 80 nucleotides in length. Their secondary structure includes four short double-helical elements and three loops (D, anti-codon, and T loops). The record is from RNAcentral. Lineage: Bacteria; Bacillati; Bacillota; Clostridia; Eubacteriales; Oscillospiraceae.
GGAGACGUAUCGAAGUGGUCAUAACGGACACGACUCGAAAUCGUGAUGCCCCUUGAGGGACGUGGGUUCGAAUCCCACCGUCUCCGCCA